This is a long non-coding RNA of Chelonia mydas (Green sea turtle), 527 nucleotides long. RefSeq lists it as uncharacterized. Lineage: Eukaryota; Metazoa; Chordata; Testudines; Cheloniidae. The record is from RefSeq and is a predicted model, not a curated record. The transcript is spliced from 4 exons.
AGAGAGAUAGACCUGGCUGCAUGAAAGAGGAAAAGGAUAUCCAUUCGCUUUCUUCCCCCAGUUCAAGGAUGUAAGAAACUGCACCAGUCACCUACACUAUGAAAGAAGUCAACAGCUCCUCAGUGUCAGACAAAUCAUUAUGUGGGCCCUGGAGAAUGUGAACAAUGUGCUCUCUAUCUCACUCAAUCACACCCUACAGCUGUGCUGAGACAUCCUUAACUCUUAACACACUCCAGAGGGGAGGCAGAAAUCAGGAAGGGAAAGGAGAGCGAGAGAGGAAAGAAAAAGACUCACAGCUCCACCUUGCAAACGACAAAAAAGGAUUGUGCUAAAAUGACUGAAGAGCAACCAAGUGGGAGCCGGCACCGCAGCCCAUCACACGCUUGCCAGUGAGGAGGAAAGCCCCACCCCCGCAAUGGAGAUGAAGACAGACCUUUGUUAGAGGCCUACAGUUUCUCAGUAUGCUGGCUGAGAUGAGGCCUGAGAGAGAAAUAUAGUUCUAUUGCUAACCCAGCUUGGUUUCAAAC